CCUACGGGCGGCAGCAGUGGGGAAUAUUGCACAAUGGGCGCAAGCCUGAUGCAGCCAUGCCGCGUGUGUGAAGAAGGCCUUCGGGUUGUAAAGCACUUUCAGCGGGGAGGAAGGCGUUAAGGUUAAUAACCUUGUCGAUUGACGUUACCCGCAGAAGAAGCACCGGCUAACUCCGUGCCAGCAGCCGCGGUAAUACGGAGGGUGCAAGCGUUAAUCGGAAUUACUGGGCGUAAAGCGCACGCAGGCGGUCUGUCAAGUCGGAUGUGAAAUCCCCGGGCUCAACCUGGGAACUGCAUUCGAAACUGGCAGGCUAGAGUCUUGUAGAGGGGGGUAGAAUUCCCGGUGUAGCGGUGAAAUGCGUAGAGAUCUGGAGGAAUACCGGUGGCGAAGGCGGCCCCCUGGACAAAGACUGACGCUCAGGUGCGAAAGCGUGGGGAGCAAACAGGAUUAGAUACCCUUGUAGUC
This 465-nucleotide ribosomal RNA is filed under the name uncultured Klebsiella sp. RNAcentral's name for it is "bacterial SSU rRNA". It matches the Rfam family "Bacterial small subunit ribosomal RNA", at positions 338 to 795 of the family's 1533-position model. The record is from RNAcentral. Lineage: Bacteria; Pseudomonadati; Pseudomonadota; Gammaproteobacteria; Enterobacterales; Enterobacteriaceae.